RNAcentral lists this ribosomal RNA (116 nucleotides) under Bacillus sp. TH008. The record is from RNAcentral. Lineage: Bacteria; Bacillati; Bacillota; Bacilli; Caryophanales; Bacillaceae. RNAcentral also lists the same sequence under 7 other names.
UUUGGUGGCGAUGGCGAAGAGGUCACACCCGUUCCCAUGCCGAACACGGAAGUUAAGCUCUUCAGCGCCGAUGGUAGUUGGGGGUUUCCCCCUGUGAGAGUAGGACGCCGCCAAGC